RNAcentral lists this ribosomal RNA (552 nucleotides) under uncultured bacterium. Its description in RNAcentral is "partial 16S ribosomal RNA". It matches the Rfam family "Bacterial small subunit ribosomal RNA", at positions 355 to 896 of the family's 1533-position model. The record is from RNAcentral.
UGGGGAAUCUUCCGCAAUGGACGAAAGUCUGACGGAGCAACGCCGCGUGAGUGAAGAAGGUUUUCGGAUCGUAAAACUCUGUCUUUUGGGGCGAACGUGAGUAUGGUGAACAAUCAUAGUCAGUGACGGUACCAAAGGAGGAAGCCACGGCUAACUACGUGCCAGCAGCCGCGGUAAUACGUAGGUGGCAAGCGUUGUCCGGAAUUAUUGGGCGUAAAGAGCGCGUAGGCGGGAUAGUCAGUCUGUUGUAAAGUGCGGGGCUCAACCCCGUGAUGGCAAUGGAAACAGCUAUUCUUGAGUGCAGGAGAGGAAAGUGGAAUUCCCAGUGUAGCGGUGAAAUGCGUAGAUAUUGGGAGGAACACCAGUGGCGAAGGCGACUUUCUGGACUGUGUCUGACGCUGAGGCGCGAAAGCCAGGGGAGCGAACGGGAUUAGAUACCCCGGUAGUCCUGGCCGUAAAACGAUGGGUACUAGGUGUGGGAGGUAUCGACCCCCUUCCGUGCCGGAGUUAACGCAAUAAGUACCCCGCCUGGGGAGUACGGUCGCAAGACUG